AUUGUCAAAUGGAUUAUAGAAACUUUGCAUCUGUGGGUUGUAGAGGUACCUAAUGUGAAACAAAGAAAAUAAAGAAGAAUUUACCUGAUAUGUGAGUGUUGAACUGCAUCUUGGACAUAAUCAAGCUUGAAGAGGAAUCUAAAGGACCAUCACAGAAAAACUACAACUGUACACAAUGCAGAGAUCAACAAAUUGUGGAAAGCCCAGCUCCAGUGGGUACAUCUACACCACAGGUCCUGCAUGUAGGACUCAGGGAGCACCACAGGAAAGGGAACAGAAAGAGCCAGAACACCAGAAAGACUGCUGAAAUGAAUAUAUAGAGAUGUUUGUGCUGCAAGAAUACCACCCAGGGAUUCAGUUGAUUUCCCGUUGCCUGCAAGAUGCAAGACUUUCAGCUACUGCUCCAACACCAGCACAUGUUUGAUAUGCACAGCUGGAAGAGAAGAGGGAGUUGGAACAUCUAGAACUGGAGUUCCACACUGCUGUUAUCUGGACUUUUUGCUGGGAACUGAACACAGGUCUUCUAAAAGAGCAGCCAAGGCUCGCAACCUCUGAGCCAUCUCUCCAUCCACAGAAAAAAAAUUCCUUUACAGCUGCCCAAGUUCGUUCACAUCACUAAUUGACUGAUAAGUAAGAUGUUUUCCUCAUAUAAAUUUUGUGAACAAAGGACAUAAUAAAUGCACCUACUUAGAAUAUUCA
Non-coding RNA from Peromyscus maniculatus bairdii (prairie deer mouse), 699 nucleotides. The record is from RefSeq and is a predicted model, not a curated record. NCBI's taxonomy places the organism in Eukaryota, Metazoa, Chordata, Mammalia, Rodentia, Cricetidae.